Molecule: non-coding RNA, 74 nt
Organism: Aedes albopictus (Asian tiger mosquito)
Lineage: Eukaryota; Metazoa; Arthropoda; Insecta; Diptera; Culicidae
Source: Rfam
UGUUCUGUGGCUUAGUCGGGUAAAGCGCCGGUCUGGCAAAUACGGAGUCGUGGGUUCGAAUCUCACCAGAAUGC